UACGGAGGGUGCGAGCGUUGUCCGGAAUCACUGGGCGUAAAGGGCGCGUAGGCGGUCCGGUAAGCGUGUGGUGAAAGCCCGGGGCUCAACCCCGGGUCUGCCGUGCGAACUGCCGGACUCGAGCACUGUAGAGGCAGGUGGAAUUCCGAGUGUAGCGGUGGAAUGCGUAGAGAUUCGGAGGAACACCGGUGGCGAAGGCGGCCUGCUGGGCAGUGUCUGACGCUGAGGCGCGACAGCGUGGGGAGCAAACAGG
Molecule: ribosomal RNA, 253 nt
Filed under: uncultured bacterium
Lineage: Bacteria
Description: partial 16S ribosomal RNA
Rfam family: Bacterial small subunit ribosomal RNA
Source: RNAcentral